This 1356-nucleotide long non-coding RNA is filed under the name Salmo salar (Atlantic salmon). Its description in RNAcentral is "lncRNA (ENSSSAG00000120936.1, ENSSSAG00075061360.1)". The record is from RNAcentral. Lineage: Eukaryota; Metazoa; Chordata; Actinopteri; Salmoniformes; Salmonidae.
UGUCAAUCUCCAAGUGGAGUGUCAUGUGCCUUUCACUGAGGAGUGGCUUCCGUCUGGCCACUCUACCAUAAAGGCCUGAUUGGUGGAGUGCUGCAGAGAUGGUUGUCCUUCUGGAAGAUUCUCCCAUCUACUACAGAGGAACUCUAGAGCUCUGUCAGAGCGACCGUCGGGUUCUUGGUCACCUCCCUGACGAAUGUCUAAAAAGCUGUUUUCGCUUCGUCAUUAUGGAGCAUUGUGUGUACAUUGCUGAGAUGUUUUUAUUUAAUUUAUCCAUUUUAGAAUAAGGCUGUAACUUAACAAAAUGUGGAAAAAGCCAAGAGGUCUGAAUACUUUCCGAAGGCACUGUAUGUACCAGAAAGAGCACCCCCAUAUUCAUGCUGGACGGGAAGACGAGGUACAUUUGGAGAGGGGUCAUUUUUUGGCAGAGGAAAGACGGAAGAAAAAGUGUGCCUCAGGUAGAGCAUGGCGCUUGCAACGCCAGGGUUGAGGGUUCGAUUCUCACGGAGGGCCGGUACAAAAGCAUCAAGUGUCUCCGGGUUCGAAGCUGGCUAUUCACGAAACAUCCGACACAUCUCUUUUGAUCUCUUAUUUCCGCGAUAACCCAGUUUCCUGUCUGUCAGCCGGAGACGGAGAUGAGGACGAGAGCGCUUUGAUUGCGCUGGGGCUGCUGCGCGUUUGCGGGUGCAACAGGGAGGAGACAAGUGAAAAUACAGUAGAAGAGUACAAGAGAGAGACAGGAUCCAGGUUAAAGGUCAUCCAACUUGUUUACCCUGAGUGAGGGAUUCUGUUAUGAUGAACCCAGAAGCAGACCAGGACAAGGUGAGUUGAACCAAGGUGAGUAUUUAUUUACAGACUCAAAUGUGAAAGCAGAAUAAUCCAGGAGACGGAGCGGGCAGCGGAGGUGAGUUGGUGAGAGUGAAUAGGCAGAUCCAAUGAUGUCACAGAAGCCCCGACGACCAGGCAGGGGUGGGGUGAAUGUUCCGGGAGAAUGACUGUAGACAGAGUAAGCGGAGCUAACGAUCCAGCAGGGAAUGGAUGUCAGGUCAGGGCUUAUGAAGAGAAGAGGUGAUGAUCAGGACCAGGUGUGCAGAUAGCUGAUGAGAUGCAGGUGCGGGUAAUUGAUAGAUCUCCCGCCUAGCUUCGUCGCCCGGCAACCAGACAGGGUGCGUUCAGGAACCUCAGGAAACAGACUCCGAGACAGAAAAUAGGCAACUCAGGCAGAAAACAGACUCAGGAAGCGGGAUUCAUGACAUCCAAAACUUGUAAUGAAAUCCAAAACUUUCCAGGUUUCCAACACCCAGCAAUAAUUAUGUUUGUUGCAGAUACUAAAUUAAAAGGACAUUACAAUUGUUUGUG